UACGGAGGGGGCUAGCGUUGUUCGGAAUUACUGGGCGUAAAGCGCACGUAGGCGGCUUUGUAAGUUAGAGGUGAAAGCCCAGGGCUUAACCCUGGAAUUGCCUUUAAGACUGCAUCGCUAGAAUCGUGGAGAGGUGAGUGGAAUUCCGAGUGUAGAGGUGAAAUUCGUAGAUAUUCGGAAGAACACCAGUGGCAAAGGCGACUCACUGGACACGUAUUGACGCUGAGGUGCGAAAGCGUGGGGAGCAAACAGG
RNAcentral lists this ribosomal RNA (253 nucleotides) under uncultured bacterium. Its description in RNAcentral is "partial 16S ribosomal RNA". It matches the Rfam family "Bacterial small subunit ribosomal RNA", at positions 524 to 776 of the family's 1533-position model. The record is from RNAcentral.